This 472-nucleotide unclassified non-coding RNA is filed under the name Sogatella furcifera (white-backed planthopper). The record is from RNAcentral. Lineage: Eukaryota; Metazoa; Arthropoda; Insecta; Hemiptera; Delphacidae.
ACACAUUAAAAAAUGUGAAAUAUCCACCAUAUAUACUCUUGUGUAUAACUGGUAUCAGUUGAUCAGAUUCUGAACUACAGUUCAUAGAGUCUGACAACUUGAAGAAAGCUGAUUGAGAAUGCAUGCCAUGUUGAUUAACUUCCGUGGGUGCUACUCAACAGCAAAAGGAACUAGCUGAAUGAGUUUGCAUGCCAUGUUGAUUAACUUCCGUGGGUGCUACUCAACAGCAAAAGGAACUAGCUGAAUGAGUKUGCAUGUGCCAUGUUGAUUAACUUCCGUGGAUGCUACUCAACAGCAAAAGAAAUCUAUUCUAUUGAUCGGUCGACUUCCUGGCAUACAUACACCAUGUAUUGCCUAGUGUCCCAGAUAGAUAGAUGGUAAGCAAAACACAAUAUUGUGUUUGCUCAGUGUCAAAAUGAAAAUGACAAAAUAGCCAAUACUAAAUGUGAUCAUUAGCCAGCAAGAAUAUAAA